RNAcentral lists this ribosomal RNA (372 nucleotides) under Triticum aestivum (bread wheat). Its description in RNAcentral is "partial small subunit ribosomal RNA". The record is from RNAcentral. Lineage: Eukaryota; Viridiplantae; Streptophyta; Magnoliopsida; Poales; Poaceae.
UAUCUGAACGAGUUCUCUUCCAUGAACUAUCCUAGAACUCUACAGAAACUGUUUAGUCCCAGACACUCUAGCCUUAGAGUGACGGUUGAGAGGGAAUUUGGAGCUUUGAAGAAUAGGUUUAAGAUCCUGGAUCAAAAAUCAUUCCACCCUUAGCCUACCCAAGUUAGGCUUGUUCUUUCAUGUUUCAACCUUCAUAACUUGAUCCUACAAUGGGGUUGUGAUGAACUUGUCCCAGAAGAGGAAUAUGUGAUGUCUGAUGAUGUUGUCAGCUCCGGCCAUGGUGUGGAUGCAUUUGACAACGACGUGUGAAAGAACAAAAGGAUAGGGUGGGCUCAGGUAAUGUGGGAUAACAGAGAUCAGACAAGGAUCUAA